This 107-nucleotide ribosomal RNA is filed under the name Nomascus leucogenys (northern white-cheeked gibbon). The record is from RNAcentral. Lineage: Eukaryota; Metazoa; Chordata; Mammalia; Primates; Hylobatidae.
GUCUACGGCCAUAUCACCCUGAACACGCCUGAUCUCGGAAGCUAAGCAGGAUCGGACCUGGCUGGUACUUGGAUGGGAGACCGCCUGCGAACCGGGUGCUUUAGGCU